Molecule: ribosomal RNA, 660 nt
Filed under: Bacillus licheniformis
Lineage: Bacteria; Bacillati; Bacillota; Bacilli; Caryophanales; Bacillaceae
Description: bacterial SSU rRNA
Rfam family: Bacterial small subunit ribosomal RNA
Source: RNAcentral
GGCGGCGUGCCUAAUACAUGCAAGUCGAGCGGACCGACGGGAGCUUGCUCCCUUAGGUCAGCGGCGGACGGGUGAGUAACACGUGGGUAACCUGCCUGUAAGACUGGGAUAACUCCGGGAAACCGGGGCUAAUACCGGAUGCUUGAUUGAACCGCAUGGUUCAAUCAUAAAAGGUGGCUUUUAGCUACCACUUGCAGAUGGACCCGCGGCGCAUUAGCUAGUUGGUGAGGUAACGGCUCACCAAGGCGACGAUGCGUAGCCGACCUGAGAGGGUGAUCGGCCACACUGGGACUGAGACACGGCCCAGACUCCUACGGGAGGCAGCAGUAGGGAAUCUUCCGCAAUGGACGAAAGUCUGACGGAGCAACGCCGCGUGAGUGAUGAAGGUUUUCGGAUCGUAAAACUCUGUUGUUAGGGAAGAACAAGUACCGUUCGAAUAGGGCGGCACCUUGACGGUACCUAACCAGAAAGCCACGGCUAACUACGUGCCAGCAGCCGCGGUAAUACGUAGGUGGCAAGCGUUGUCCGGAAUUAUUGGGCGUAAAACGCGCGCAGGCGGUUUCUUAAGUCUGAUGUGAAAGCCCCCGGCUCAACCGGGGAGGGGUCAUUGGAAACUGGGGAACUUGAGUGCAGAAGAAGAGAAUGGAAUUCCACGUUGUA